Molecule: ribosomal RNA, 368 nt
Filed under: uncultured organism
Description: bacterial SSU rRNA
Rfam family: Bacterial small subunit ribosomal RNA
Source: RNAcentral
CGAAGGACCCGAGCGUUAUCCGGAUUUAUUGGGUUUAAAGGGUGCGUAGGCGGAUUAGUAAGUCAGUGGUGAAAGCCCGUCGCUCAACGGCGGAACUGCCAUUGAUACUGCUAGUCUUGAGUAUGGUUGAGGUGGGCGGAAUGUGUCAUGUAGCGGUGAAAUGCUUAGAUAUGACACAGAACACCAAUUGCGAAGGCAGCUCGCUAAGCCAUAACUGACGCUGAUGCACGAAAGCGUGGGGAGCAAACAGGAUUAGAUACCCUGGUAGUCCACGCCCUAAACUAUGAUCACUCGUUGUUGGCGAUACACAGUCAGCGACUAAGGGAAACCAUUAAGUGAUCCACCUGGGGAGUACGACCGCAAGGUUG